CAGAGACCACGGAGAAAAAUUCGUUAUUGUUGCUGCAAAAAACUGUAGCAGCUCACGAGAGUUUUACUUUUAUUAUUCAUGUUGCUAUUAGGAGUUGCAUUAUUACUAGAUCCUAGCUGGCACAGAUGGCUGCUGUGCUUUGAGGUCUGCUUUAGUCAUGUUUUCAGCUGCUUUUUUUUGCAGAUUUUAUAGGGUUUGGGCUGAUUUUAGCUUCCUUCAUUUGCUUGAUAAUUGUUUUGUUUUUUGUUUUGGUUUUUACUUAAUUAGCAGGAAUAUGUUCGUGUUUAUAGUGUGCUUUAUUCACUCUUUCUGAACUUGUGGUAACCAGAAUCAGCGAUACCUUCUGUUGUUUGUGUGGGACCGGCACAGACCAGAUGCUUUGAUGAUGGCAGCAGCUUUCGUGGAAGCUUGUAUGUGUUGCCUCUUGUGCCACUGAGUGUGUCCAAGAAGAGUCUGGCUCCAUCCACUCUACACUGUCCCGCAUCCCUUAAGCAGCUCAAGACAGUGAAGAAAGAGUGUCCUACUAGCAAGAAGUAUUGUCUUCCUCCCAGUAAUAAAAGAAUCUUACACUGGAAAACUACAGGGACGCUGGCCAAAAAGCAAUAAGGAGAGACCAGGAGAACUUCUGAAACAUUAAUGAUGCCCUCCUGCCAAAGCCUGUAAAAAUGUGCUAAAACUCUGAGUAUUCAUGAAUAUGGCAGCUUGAGAUUUGACUCACCUCAUCAAAUCCCUAAGCUAAGUUUUCACUUACCCAAUAUUUAUCCCAGACAGGAUCUCAGUAGGUUUAUGAGAGGUAAGGGGGGGAACACAUACAACUUCCUUAGCCAAGAGAUAAUUAAACAGAGUCAUCAAGGCCAGACCUCUGACUGGGCUGUGAAAUCUACUGCCAGAUGUUCCAGAUACAUCUGUCUAACUACUAACAGGAUCCCUCUCAUUACAAUAUCCAAGCUUUUCACAAAUAUUAGUGGGUUUUCUCUCAGGAAAAGAAAUAUUUUUUCAUUCUAACAUAGUACCAAACAGAGCUGAACAAAUAAUAGUAAUAAAGUAGGUAUUUCUUGAGUUUAGGGGUUAUUUUCUAACUUUUCUGUCUGUGAUUUUUUUGUACAUAGGGAAAAAAAAAAAAAAACCUUAAACUCUCCAAAGCAUGAAAAUCUGUGGAGUCUAGUUGCUUCCACAUAAAGGACUCUUUCCUCCAUCGUUAUGCAGCUAUUGUUCUGCCGCCACACUUUGUUGAUGGUUCACAACAGCAUAUUUUUAGAUCUACAAGUCUUAGAUAGUGUAGUAGCAGUAAAUGUGACCUAAAGAUUCAAGAAUUGAAAGACAAAUAUAAGGAAUCCUGAAUACACAUAUUCAUAUGUAUACAGAUAUAAACAGAGAAUUAUUUCCAAAAAGUAAAUGUAGGUAUGUAUACAAAUAUGUUUUGGUUGAAUUUGAAAUCUGUGUGUAUGUAUUUAUAACCAAAUACAGAAGUCUAUUAUUUUUCAUCUAUUUCAUGAAGUUUGGGGUUGCCUUAUAUUUUUGGAACAAUUUGGACUGGCCAUCCUGAACUUCCUGUAUUACAGUUGCAUACUCUCUACAUGAACAUAAUGAAUGAGAGGUAGAAAAUUCUUCUUCUUCAAUUACUUCAUUU
Struthio camelus australis is the source of this 1630-nucleotide non-coding RNA. Lineage: Eukaryota; Metazoa; Chordata; Aves; Struthioniformes; Struthionidae. The record is from RefSeq and is a predicted model, not a curated record.